RNAcentral lists this ribosomal RNA (462 nucleotides) under uncultured bacterium. RNAcentral describes it as "bacterial SSU rRNA". It matches the Rfam family "Bacterial small subunit ribosomal RNA", at positions 337 to 791 of the family's 1533-position model. The record is from RNAcentral.
UCCUACGGGGCGCAGCAGUGGGGAAUUUUGGACAAUGGGCGAAAGCCUGAUCCAGCCAUUCCGCGUGCAGGAUGAAGGCCUUCGGGUUGUAAACUGCUUUUGUACGGAACGAAACGGCCUGUCCUAAUACGAUGGGCUAAUGACGGUACCGUAAGAAUAAGCACCGGCUAACUACGUGCCAGCAGCCGCGGUAAUACGUAGGGUGCAAGCGUUAAUCGGAAUUACUGGGCGUAAAGCGUGCGCAGGCGGUUAUAUAAGACAGAUGUGAAAUCCCCGGGCUCAACCUGGGAACUGCAUUUGUGACUGUAUAGCUAGAGUACGGCAGAGGGGGAUGGAAUUCCGCGUGUAGCAGUGAAAUGCGUAGAUAUGCGGAGGAACACCGAUGGCGAAGGCAAUCCCCUGGGCCUGUACUGACGCUCAUGCACGAAAGCGUGGGGAGCAAACAGGAUUAGAUACCCUGGU